Molecule: ribosomal RNA, 261 nt
Filed under: uncultured Staphylococcus sp.
Lineage: Bacteria; Bacillati; Bacillota; Bacilli; Caryophanales; Staphylococcaceae
Description: partial 16S ribosomal RNA
Rfam family: Bacterial small subunit ribosomal RNA
Source: RNAcentral
CGGGUGAGUAACACGUGGAUAACCUACCUAUAAGACUGGGAGGUAACUUCAGGAAACCGGAGCUAAUACCGGAUAAUAUAUUGAACCGCAUGGUUCAAUAGUGAAAGACGGUUUUGCUGUCACUUAUAGAUGGAUCCGCGCCGCAUUAGCUAGUUGGUAAGGUAACGGCUUACCAAGGCAACGAUGCGUAGCCGACCUGAGAGGGUGAUCGGCCACACUGGAACUGAGACACGGUCCAGACUCCUACGGGAGGCAGCAGAG